RNAcentral lists this ribosomal RNA (253 nucleotides) under uncultured bacterium. Its description in RNAcentral is "partial 16S ribosomal RNA". It matches the Rfam family "Bacterial small subunit ribosomal RNA", at positions 524 to 776 of the family's 1533-position model. The record is from RNAcentral.
UACGUAGGGUGCAAGCGUUGUCCGGAAUUAUUGGGCGUAAAGAGCUCGUAGGCGGUUUGUCGCGUCGAAUGUGAAAACCCGGGGCUCAACCCCGGGCCUGCAUUCGAUACGGGCAGACUAGAGUUCGGUAGGGGAGUCUGGAAUUCCUGGUGUAGCGGUGAAAUGCGCAGAUAUCAGGAGGAACACCGGUGGCGAAGGCGGGACUCUGGGCCGAUACUGACGCUGAGGAGCGAAAGCGUGGGGAGCAAGCAGG